RNAcentral lists this long non-coding RNA (6639 nucleotides) under Brachypodium distachyon (stiff brome). Its description in RNAcentral is "long non-coding RNA (BDIS_LNC001159)". The record is from RNAcentral. Lineage: Eukaryota; Viridiplantae; Streptophyta; Magnoliopsida; Poales; Poaceae.
CUCGGUCCACGAUCGUCCAUGCACGUCCUGCUGUUAGCGUCCACGUCCAAGCUCCAUGAGUUUUGUUCACCUUUAGUAGGUGCACGCUUGGACUACGGUUGUACAUGCAAUCAUGCACCAUAUGUGGUAUUUAUACCACCUGAGAUGAUAAUACAAAUUGGGAGGCAGUCUUUCCUCCCAAUUUGUUAGUUUUGUUGAGAUGGCUUUAGGUCUUUCUUCUCUUAGAAAGCAACGAUUGUCACAAAGGAUUAAGAAAAACAGCUAGCUUUCCUCUUCUUCUUUUUCCAAAGAUGAUGAGCUAGCUUUCCUCUCGAUUUGCGACGUGUAGGGGAGGCCAUAUAUGAACAUGAUCCAGAAAUCUCUCAUGCACCCCUUCAGGAAUUAAAAAAGGCGUUUAAUUUGUUCUGCAGCCUACAUACUAUAUCGAACCAUCGUCUCUUUUUCUUGCUGCAGUUAAUAAUACAAUACGACUCGAACAACAGUACUCCACACCAUGCCAGUGGUUUGUAUUGAACACAUUACAGAAAUAAAGCAGUCCUUUUGCUUGUUUGGAAAAGGCUUCUCCUGCAUACUCCAGAAUCCAGAUAACACUAAUUCAGGGGUAGUCCCACCGUCACAUAAUCGUACUGAAAUCAUAUACUAAUCCAUCUAUAGUAGCCUCACAUAGGAGUCGUACUAAUAUCACCGUUCAAUGUUACCUUGUCGAUCAUGAUCGUGCUCCUGUCUAGAGCAAGUUUAAUUGUGUUCCCUAGAACGUCAUAGCGAUACCAACCUGCCUGAUUAUGCAAUUUUCUAGAUCCCGGGUAUGUUGGAUUAAACUCUGCACACGCUCUACCUCUGUUAGCUUUGCACUGUAGUUAUUCUUCAGUUAACCGUAGCAGUUCUUGCUGUUUUCUUCAGUUAGCUGUUAGCAGGAAAUAAGGGCCUGUCAGUGAGCCUGUUCACGAUAUGGUCGUAGUUGUUUUUCUUUUGAUUAUUAGCUAGGUAGUUAGGCCGCACUAACCGCACCAUGGGAUGGCAUGGAGCAUGCGAGUAUUGCGGCAGUAGAGAUCACGCAUGACUUGGGCGUCGUGGGAUGGCACGACCUGUUAGCUCAGUCAGCGAUCUGAUCAGUUUGUUAGCUAUUUUGGUGGAUCGUUGGAGACCACAUAAAUAAGGGUGAAUCAGAAACAGAAAAGCUGCAGUUACAGCACGCAGCGCAAAAAAUACCUCUUGUGUUCAUCGUGUCCAAGUGAGCUGAGAGAGUGCGUGUUUGGCAACGUCAAUUGGUAUCAGAGCCUUGUUGCUUUGGUGACCAUGGUCGGAACACCACCAGCAAAGGUUGGAGGCGCCGCGGCGGCGGCGAAAGCGGCGGGCCGCACAUCGGACAGGUCAGUGACCCCGGUGGGCGGACGCGCGCAAAGUCGUGGCAGAAGCCGAAGCAGGCGUGGUGGCGGGGAGAUCGUGGUCCGGGAGAUCGUGCGCGAGGGCGGCGGCGGCGGCAGCGUCACCUUCCCCACCCUCACCAAGACGAAUUACCAGGAGUGGGCGAUCCUGAUGCGGAUCGCGCUCCAGGGCGCCGGCCUUUGGGAGGCCGUGGACACCGGCGACGCCAUGGAGCGGCAGGAGCGCCAGGCGCUCGGCGCGAUCCUCAGGUCCGUCCCGCCGGAGAUGGUUCCAGCACUCGCGGCCAAGGACGAGGCCAAGGCGGCCUGGGACAUGCUGAAGACGAUGCGCGUUGGUGACAAUCGCGUUCGCGAGGCUCGCCGCCAGAGGCUCUGCAAGGAGUUCGAGGCCAUGGCAUUCAAGUCCGGGGAAUCCGUCGAGGACUUCUCGAUGCGGAUGUCCGGCCUCGUCAGCGAGUUGCAGUCGCUCGGCGACAACACCACCGAGCUCGACGCCAUCUACAAGACUCUCCGCGUCGUGCCGACGCGGUACACGCAGAUGGCGUGCUCCAUCGAGACGCUGCUCGACCUCAGCACACUCACCAUCGAGGAGCUGAGCGGUCGCCUGGCCGCGUCAGAGGGGCGUGGCGCGCCGGAGCCAGAGGCCGGUGGCCGUCUGCUGCUCACGGAAGAGGAGUGGGCUGCAAGGCAGAAGCAGCGCGCCGGGGAGUCGAGCGGCAAGCAGGCCGCUGCGCCCAAGCCGCCGGCCGGUUUCAAGGGAGGAAAAGGCGCCACCGAGCGCCGCAAGGGCAACUGCCGGUACUGCGGCAAGGCCGGCCACUGGGCGAAAGAGUGCCGGAAAAGGCAGCGCGAUGAAGAGCGCGGCAACGUGCAAGCCAACCUUGCCCAAGCUCAAGAGGAAGAAGCACCUGCCAUGAUGAUGGUCAUCGUCACUGAAUCAACGGCGUCGCAGAUCGUGGCAUCGCAGACAGUGUUCCUCAAUGAGGAGAGGGUGUUCCCUGUGCCCUCACCAGAUGGACUGUGGUACUUUGACACUGGUGCAAGUAGCCACAUGACAGGGGAGAAGCAUGUCUUUGCAACCUUGGAUGAAACCGUGCGUGGCUCGGUGAAAUUUGGCGAUGGUUCCCUGGUCAGUAUCUGCGGAAAGGGAUCUGUUCUGUUUAGAGGGCAGUCAGGUGAUCAGCGCGUCCUCGCAGGCGUGUACUACAUCCCGAGCCUCCGGAGCAACAUAAUCUCCGUUGGCCAGCUGGACGAGGGAGGGUACAAGAUCGGCAUAGCAGAUGGCAUGAUGACGAUCCGUGAUCCCGUGCACAGCCUGCUCGCGCGCGUCAAGCGCACCGGCAAUAGACUCUACACUGGCAUCCUGUCACACGACACGCCAGUGUGCCUGAUGAGCAAGACCGACGACGCUGCCUGGAGAUGGCAUGCUCGUUUUGGGCAUCUGCACUUCCGUGCUCUCCACACUCUGUCUAGGCGAGACAUGGUGCGUGGCCUACCCAAGAUUCGUCGUGUUGAAGAGUACUGUGAUGGAUGUGCUUUGGGGAAACAACACCGCACGCCUUUCCCAAGCGCAUCAUCGUUCAGAGCACAGCAGAGCCUCGAGCUGGUCCACACUGAUCUUUGUGGCCUAAUCUCUCCGACGACGCCAGGAGGAAACAACUAUUUCUUGCUUGUCGUGGACGACUUCAGUCGUUACAUGUGGAUCGAGAUCAUCAAGGUGAAGAGUGAUGCAUACUACUUCUUCAACAAAAUCAGAGUCGCUGCAGAGGCGAUGGGCAACUGCAGGCUCCGGGCUUUCCGCUCCGAUCGCGGAGGAGAGUUCAAUUCAGGCGAGUGGCGCGAGCUCUGCGACACCAACGGCAUCCAGCACUACACGACGGCGCCAUAUUCCCCACAGCAGAAUGGGGUCGUCGAGAGACGAAACCAAACUGUCGUGGAGAUGGCUCGUUGUCUGCUCAAGAGCAUGAAGAUGCCGUCUCGUUUCUGGGGAGAGGCUGUCAGAACCACAGUCUACAUACUGAACCGUGCUCCUACUCGUGCACUCGAUGGCAUCACUCCGUAUGAGCUCUGGCAUGGCCAGAAACCGAACGUCCAGCACAUGCGUGUGUUCGGUUGUGUUGCUCACGUCAAGAGGGUUGGCCCUGGCAUCAACAAGCUUGCAGACCGCUCCACCAUGUGUGUGUUCAUUGGCUACGAAGCUGGCUCAAAGUGCUAUCGAGUCUAUGACCCAGCAACAGGCAAGCUGCAGGUGUCGCGCGAUGUUGUGUUUGAGGAAAGCAGAGCAUGGAACUGGGCAGAGGAGCAAGUGCAAGCGUCAGGCAACACAUCCUUCUCAAUGACGUAUGUCGAGGAGUCGGGCACCAUGCAGAUCGACACUGGCGUAGAGACACUAGCUGGGCAAGCUUCAAGUUCUUCUACUGGUGGCAGUUCCUCGAGGUCUGUCACGCCAGCGCCAGCGCCACUCACGCCCACCGGCACCGCUUCAACGCCGCUCACGCCAGCGGACAGACUGGCAUUCGUUGGGCAACGCCACUCACGCACGACGACGGCCGCGACACGGACACCGGGCCGAUUCGCUAUCGGCGCCUGUCCUGCGUCCUCGAUGCCACGGAGGAUGAAGCCAUCAGGGAGCUGGGCGAGCAGUGCAUGCUCGCUGCCGAAGAGCCUCAAAACAUCAACGAGGCAAUCGCAGAUGAAGCGUGGCGAGCUGCCAUGGACGAAGAAAUGGCAUCAAUCACUGAAAACAAAACCUGGGAGUUGUCUGCACUCCCUCGAGGCCACAAAGCGAUUGGCCUCAAGUGGGUUUUCAAAGUAAAGCGCGACGCCGCCGGCAACCUCGUCAAGUACAAGGCUCGCCUCGUCGCGAAAGGCUACGCCCAGCGCCAGGGGGUGGACUUCGAGGAGAUUUUUGCUCCGGUGGCCAGAAUGGAGACGGUGCGUGUCCUUCUCGCGCUGGCGGCACACUCUGGCUGGGAAGUACACCAUAUGGACGUAAAAUCUGCAUUCUUGAACGGUGUACUCAGCGAGGAGGUCUACGUGUGCCAGCCACCGGGAUACGUCGUCGCCGGCAAGGAAACUGCAGAAAGCUCUAUAUGGACUCCAUCAGGCACCUCGGGCAUGGUAUGAAAAACUUGAUGUUUCACUUGUUUCACUUGGAUUCAUCCGCAGUCCAGUAGAGCAUGCUGUGUACAAGAGGGGUGACAGCAAUUCAUACUUGCUGGUGGGAGUCUAUGUUGACGAUUUGAUCAUCACCGGCACUGAUGUACAGUUCAUCUCUGAAUUUAAACAUCAGAUGCAGCAACUCUUCAAAAUGAGUGAUCUGGGCCAUCUCAGCUACUACUUGGGGAUUGAGGUCACCCAAUCUGAUGGUCAGAUCACGCUGUGCCAGAGGAGAUAUGCUGAGAAGAUACUGGAGACUGCUGGCAUGAGCAACUGCAACAGCUGCCGCGUCCCAAUGGAGUGUCGUCUGAAGGUGAAGAAACAUGAUGACACAGGAGAGGCUGAUAAAACCCUCUACAGAAGUGUGAUUGGCAGCCUCAGGUACCUGGUAAACACACGGCCAGACCUUGCUCUUGCCGUAGGUGUUGCCAGCAGGUUUAUGGAAAAUCCCACUCAAAUUCAUUGGGGUUUGAUCAAGCAAAUUUUGAGGUAUGUACAAGGAACAUUGUCCUUCGGUUGCAGCUUCAGAAAAGGGGAAGGGGAUCCUGUACUUGUUGGAUACAGUGACAGCGAUCUAGCAGGUGAUCCAGAUGAUCGCAAGAGCACCUCUGGAGUCACCUUCUUUCUUGGCCACAACAUUGUUUCCUGGAGUUCACAGAAACAGAAAACUGUGGCCUUGUCCUCGUGUGAAGCAGAGUACAUUGCCGCUGCUGCAGGGGCGUGUCAGGGUGUGUGGCUCAGUCGCCUUCUUGGUGACCUGACCGGGCGAGCUCCUACAAAGUUCAGGCUUCUAGUGGACAACAAGUCAGCGAUCGCUCUGUGCAAGAAUCCAGUAUUUCAUGAUCGCCGUAAGCACAUUGACAUGAAGUUUCACUUCACCAGAACCUGCAUCGAGAGAGGUCAAGUGGAUGUGGAUCAUGUGCGCACGGAGGAGCAGCUGGCAGACAUUCUCACGAAGGCGCUUGGCUUCGUCAGGUUUAUCGAACUGCGUCGCUUGCUGGGUGUCGUCGAGGUGCAAGUUUAAGGGGGUGAAGUGUUGGAUUAAACUCUGCACACGCUCUACCUCUGUUAGCUUUGCACUGUAGUUAUUCUUCAGUUAACUGUAGCAGUUCUUGCUGUUUUCUUCAGUUAGCUGUUAGCAGGAAAUAAGGGGCUGUCAGUGAGCCUGUUCACGAUAUGGUCGUAGUUGUUUUUCUUCUGAUUAUUAGCUAGGUAGUUAGGCCGCACUAACCGCACCAUGGGAUGGCAUGGAGCAUGCGAGUAUUGCGGCAGUAGAGAUCACGCAUGACUUGGGCGUCGUGGGAUGGCACGACCUGUUAGCUCAGUCAGCGAUCUGAUCAGUUUGUUAGCUAUUUUGAUGGAUCGUUGGAGACCACAUAAAUAAGGGUGAAUCAGAAACAGAAAAGCUGCAGUUACAGCACGCAGCGCAAAAAAUACCUCUUGUGUUCAUCGUGUCCAAGUGAGCUGAGAGAGAACGAGUGCGUGUUUGGCAACGUCAGGGUAUACCGUGACACUAAAUCACACUUCGCGCCCAAUUGAGGCCAGGGAGGCAGGGAGUGUUGCUGAAAACAUGUCAAUUGCUCCCAAAUGUUUCUACACAUCUCAGCCCAUGAAGAUAAAUUGACGAAAAUAUGAGGAUAAACUGAGGCAAUCAGAUCUUGAUACCUGCAGCAAACUUGCCUGAUCUGGAUCCUCCAUGGAAACCUCGGUCGCUCUGGAGAGAAGGCCGGGGCAUCAGGAAGCUAGAUGCGAUGCGAUGCGUCGCGUCUCCUGAUCCCCUCCAUGCCCGCUACCUUCCACAGCAUAGCUUCUCCCCAUCCCCCGAUCUCGCUCGGCGCCGCCGCGGCUGGCGGAGGGAAGGCUCGUCAGCCCACCGGUUGUUUGGCUCGCCGCUGCCGUAAGAUGCCCCUGCUCGAGGCGCCGCCACUCUCUCAAGGGAAAAGGAGCUCGCUUGUUUUGCUGUUGGAGAGUGAAAAAAAAGAAGACCCUAAAAGACGAGUAUUUAAAGCAUCAGCGAUCGCGUAGCUAGGCGCUUUCAGAAAUGGAAAGCGUAAACUGUUACUCUACGCCGAUCACUCUUCGAACUCUUACUUGG